GAUGAAUGCUGGCGGCGUGCUUAACACAUGCAAGUCGAGCGGCAGCGCGAGUAGUUUACUACUUGGCGGCGAGCGGCGGACGGCUGAGUAACGCGUAGGAACGUGCCCCAAAGUGAGGAAUAACCGCCCGAAAGGGUGGCUAAUGCCGCAUAUGAUCUUCGGAUUAAAGGAUUUAUCCGCUUUGGGAGCGGCCUGCGUAUGAUUAGGUAGUUGGUGAGGUAAUGGCUCACCAAGCCGACGAUCAUUAGCUGGUCUGCGAGGAUGACCAGCCAGACUGGAACUGAGACACGGUCCAGACUCCUACGGGAGGCAGCAGUGAGGAAUCUUCCACAAUGGGCGAAAGCCUGAUGGAGCAACGCCGCGUGAAGGAUGAAGGCCCUCGGGUCGUAAACUUCUUUUAUAAGUGAAGAAUAUGACGGUAACUUAUGAAUAAGCACCGGCUAACUACGUGCCAGCAGCCGCGGUAA
This 467-nucleotide ribosomal RNA is filed under the name uncultured bacterium. RNAcentral describes it as "partial 16S ribosomal RNA". It matches the Rfam family "Bacterial small subunit ribosomal RNA", at positions 28 to 523 of the family's 1533-position model. The record is from RNAcentral.